This 240-nucleotide ribosomal RNA is filed under the name uncultured bacterium. RNAcentral describes it as "partial 16S ribosomal RNA". It matches the Rfam family "Bacterial small subunit ribosomal RNA", at positions 15 to 244 of the family's 1533-position model. The record is from RNAcentral.
GAUCAUGGCUCAGGAUGAACGCUAUCUACAGGCUUAACACAUGCAAGUCGAGGGGAAACGACAUCGAAAGCUUGCUUUUGAUGGGCGUCGACCGGCGCACGGGUGAGUAACGCGUAUCCAACCUGCCUACCACUUGGGGAUAACCUUGCGAAAGUAAGACUAAUACCCAAUGAUAUCCCACGAAGGCAUCCGAAUGGGAUUAAAGAUUUAUCGGUGAUGGAUGGGGAUGCGUCUGAUUAG